This is a long non-coding RNA of Thalassophryne amazonica, 1038 nucleotides long. RefSeq lists it as uncharacterized. The record is from RefSeq and is a predicted model, not a curated record. The transcript is spliced from 2 exons. NCBI's taxonomy places the organism in Eukaryota, Metazoa, Chordata, Actinopteri, Batrachoidiformes, Batrachoididae.
GCUUGUCCUAAGCUAAGUUGGUGUCACCCGUGUCUUUUGACCUUGCCGGCUGGUCACGUGACUCGUGGGCUGAGGUUCUUUUGCCUGACGGACGUUUAAACGUCAGUCCAGGUUUCGUUUUGGGGUUUUUAGUAAAUCAGGAAACGUUUUAGUCUACGUUCUUUGUUGGAAAGCUUCUGUUUGUUCGCCUGAAAUCGUGAUGCAGAAAACAGCUGAUUUCUGAAGGUGACUUCCUGUCUGUCAUGGGCCUCCAGAGCAUCUGGGAAAAGUACAAAGUCCUGAUUGUUAUGGGAACCAGUCUGGGGCUGAUCCACUGGGGCUGGUACAACCUGAAGGCAUAUCCUCUGAUUCAAAGUCCCAAAGACAAAUCCAGUCCUGAGCCGGCCGUCAUCGGCUACGUUUCACCGCCUACUGCCACCAAGAACAAGUAGACCCGACCCGGAUACCCACACCAGUCUGUCCCUGCAAGGUCCAAGGUCCCAGCCUCAGUGGACUGCUGGUCCAACAGAGUAAGACGUGUAAGCUGAUCAGGAUCUGGGUGAUGAGGUCUCAGAGCUGGAUCAGGAGGAACUGGUUCUGGGCAGCUGGCAGUGCUUUUAUCAGCGUCCAUGUGAGCAUGUGGCUGAUACAGCGAGCAAUAAAGAGCGCUGCUCGCUCGGAGGCGGCGCUGAAACACAACAUGACUGAAUACAAACUGGACUGAACCUGUUUCUGGAUGAUGAGUUAACGACUCACAGAUUAACAGAAAGAAAAGAAACGAGUCUGAAACAAGUUUUAUAGAUUGAGGUUUGUUCACAUCAGACUGCAGCUCCCUGUUCUCCCUCUGGAGGGCAGUGUGCCUGCUGCAGCCAUGCUGCAUGUUUUUCUGUUCACCUUUUCAGUCGUCCUGGGACGUCUCAGGAACCUUAAGUGACAAACAUGUAGCCAAGAGUCUGUGAUGUGACCUUUGACCUCAAAUCUUGCAUGCUCUUUUUGGGGUCAUAACGCUGAUCAUGGUUUUCCUGAUGCCAGUGAUCAAUAAAAUGACUGAGGAAAACA